UACGUAGGUGGCAAGCGUUAUCCGGAUUUACUGGGUGUAAAGGGCGUGUAGGCGGGACUGCAAGUCAGAUGUGAAAACCACGGGCUCAACCUGUGGCCUGCAUUUGAGACUGUAGUUCUUGAGUACUGGAGAGGCAGACGGAAUUCCUAGUGUAGCGGUGAAAUGCGUAGAUAUUAGGAGGAACACCAGUGGCGAAGGCGGUCUGCUGGACAGCAACUGACGCUGAGGCGCGAAAGCGUGGGGAGCAAACAGG
RNAcentral lists this ribosomal RNA (253 nucleotides) under uncultured bacterium. Its description in RNAcentral is "partial 16S ribosomal RNA". It matches the Rfam family "Bacterial small subunit ribosomal RNA", at positions 524 to 776 of the family's 1533-position model. The record is from RNAcentral.